UGGGGGAUAUUGCACAAUGGGCGAAAGCCUGAUGCAGCGACGCCGCGUGGGGGAUGAAGGCCUUCGGGUUGUAAACUUCUUUUGCUCUGAACAAGGCAUGCCUUUGGGGUGUGUUGAGUGUAGGGGUUGAUUAGCGCCGGCUAACUACGUGCCAGCAGCCGCGGUAAUACGUAGGGCGCGAGCGUUUUCCGGAAUUAUUGGGCGUAAAGGGCUUGUAGGUGGCUGGUUGCGUCUGUCGUGAAAGCUCAUGGCUUAACUGUGGGUUUGCGGUGGGUACGGGCUGGCUUGAGUGCAGUAGGGGAGGCUGGAAUUCCUGGUGUAGCGGUGGAAUGCGCAGAUAUCAGGAGGAAUACCGGUGGCGAAGGCGGGUCUCUGGGCUGUUACUGACGCUGAGGAGCGAAAGCGUGGGGAGCGAACAGG
RNAcentral lists this ribosomal RNA (420 nucleotides) under Fusobacteriota bacterium. RNAcentral's name for it is "Fusobacteria bacterium partial 16S ribosomal RNA". It matches the Rfam family "Bacterial small subunit ribosomal RNA", at positions 355 to 776 of the family's 1533-position model. Lineage: Bacteria; Fusobacteriati; Fusobacteriota. The record is from RNAcentral.